RNAcentral lists this ribosomal RNA (1932 nucleotides) under Escherichia coli. Its description in RNAcentral is "partial 23S ribosomal RNA". It matches the Rfam family "Bacterial large subunit ribosomal RNA", at positions 148 to 2104 of the family's 2925-position model. The record is from RNAcentral. Lineage: Bacteria; Pseudomonadati; Pseudomonadota; Gammaproteobacteria; Enterobacterales; Enterobacteriaceae.
CUAUCAUUAACUGAAUCCAUAGGUUAAUGAGGCGAACCGGGGGAACUGAAACAUCUAAGUACCCCGAGGAAAAGAAAUCAACCGAGAUUCCCCCAGUAGCGGCGAGCGAACGGGGAGGAGCCCAGAGCCUGAAUCAGUGUGUGUGUUAGUGGAAGCGUCUGGAAAGGCGCGCGAUACAGGGUGACAGCCCCGUACACAAAAAUGCACAUACUGUGAGCUCGAUGAGUAGGGCGGGACACGUGGUAUCCUGUCUGAAUAUGGGGGGACCAUCCUCCAAGGCUAAAUACUCCUGACUGACCGAUAGUGAACCAGUACCGUGAGGGAAAGGCGAAAAGAACCCCGGCGAGGGGAGUGAAAAAGAACCUGAAACCGUGUACGUACAAGCAGUGGGAGCCUCUUAAUGGGGUGACUGCGUACCUUUUGUAUAAUGGGUCAGCGACUUAUAUUCUGUAGCAAGGUUAACCGAAUAGGGGAGCCGAAGGGAAACCGAGUCUUAACUGGGCGUUAAGUUGCAGGGUAUAGACCCGAAACCCGGUGAUCUAGCCAUGGGCAGGUUGAAGGUUGGGUAACACUAACUGGAGGACCGAACCGACUAAUGUUGAAAAAUUAGCGGAUGACUUGUGGCUGGGGGUGAAAGGCCAAUCAAACCGGGAGAUAGCUGGUUCUCCCCGAAAGCUAUUUAGGUAGCGCCUCGUGAAUUCAUCUCCGGGGGUAGAGCACUGUUUCGGCAAGGGGGUCAUCCCGACUUACCAACCCGAUGCAAACUGCGAAUACCGGAGAAUGUUAUCACGGGAGACACACGGCGGGUGCUAACGUCCGUCGUGAAGAGGGAAACAACCCAGACCGCCAGCUAAGGUCCCAAAGUCAUGGUUAAGUGGGAAACGAUGUGGGAAGGCCCAGACAGCCAGGAUGUUGGCUUAGAAGCAGCCAUCAUUUAAAGAAAGCGUAAUAGCUCACUGGUCGAGUCGGCCUGCGCGGAAGAUGUAACGGGGCUAAACCAUGCACCGAAGCUGCGGCAGCGACACUAUGUGUUGUUGGGUAGGGGAGCGUUCUGUAAGCCUGUGAAGGUGUACUGUGAGGUAUGCUGGAGGUAUCAGAAGUGCGAAUGCUGACAUAAGUAACGAUAAAGCGGGUGAAAAGCCCGCUCGCCGGAAGACCAAGGGUUCCUGUCCAACGUUAAUCGGGGCAGGGUGAGUCGACCCCUAAGGCGAGGCCGAAAGGCGUAGUCGAUGGGAAACAGGUUAAUAUUCCUGUACUUGGUGUUACUGCGAAGGGGGGACGGAGAAGGCUAUGUUGGCCGGGCGACGGUUGUCCCGGUUUAAGCGUGUAGGCUGGUUUUCCAGGCAAAUCCGGAAAAUCAAGGCUGAGGCGUGAUGACGAGGCACUACGGUGCUGAAGCGACAAAUGCCCUGCUUCCAGGAAAAGCCUCUAAGCAUCAGGUAACAUCAAAUCGUACCCCAAACCGACACAGGUGGUCAGGUAGAGAAUACCAAGGCGCUUGAGAGAACUCGGGUGAAGGAACUAGGCAAAAUGGUGCCGUAACUUCGGGAGAAGGCACGCUGAUAUGUAGGUGAAGCGACUUGCUCGUGGAGCUGAAAUCAGUCGAAGAUACCAGCUGGCUGCAACUGUUUAUUAAAAACACAGCACUGUGCAAACACGAAAGUGGACGUAUACGGUGUGACGCCUGCCCGGUGCCGGAAGGUUAAUUGAUGGGGUUAGCGGUAACGCGAAGCUCUUGAUCGAAGCCCCGGUAAACGGCGGCCGUAACUAUAACGGUCCUAAGGUAGCGAAAUUCCUUGUCGGGUAAGUUCCGACCUGCACGAAUGGCGUAAUGAUGGCCAGGCUGUCUCCACCCGAGACUCAGUGAAAUUGAACUCGCUGUGAAGAUGCAGUGUACCCGCGGCAAGACGGAAAGACCCCGUGAACCUUUAC